Molecule: ribosomal RNA, 465 nt
Filed under: uncultured bacterium
Lineage: Bacteria
Description: partial 16S ribosomal RNA
Rfam family: Bacterial small subunit ribosomal RNA
Source: RNAcentral
GACGAACGCUGGCGGCGUGCUUAACACAUGCAAGUCGAACGGAAAGGCCCUGCUUGCAGGGUACUCGAGUGGCGAACGGGUGAGUAACACGUGGGUGAUCUGCCCUGCACUUCGGGAUAAGCCUGGGAAACUGGGUCUAAUACCGGAUAGGAGCCAUUUUUAGUGUGAUGGUUGGAAAGUUUUUUCGGUGUAGGAUGAGCUCGCGGCCUAUCAGCUUGUUGGUGGGGUAAUGGCCUACCAAGGCGGCGACGGGUAGCCGGCCUGAGAGGGUGGACGGCCACAUUGGGACUGAGAUACGGCCCAGACGCCUACGGGAGGGAGCAGUGGGGAAUAUUGCACAAUGGGCGCAAGCCUGAUGCAGCGACGCCGCGUGGGGGAUGACGGUCUUCGGGUUGUAAACUCCUUUCGCUAGGGACGAAGCUUUUUGUGACGGUACCUAGAUAAGAAGCCCCGGCUAACUACGUG